AACGCACAUUGCGCCCGCCAGCAUUCUGGCGGGCAUGCCUGUUCGAGCGUCAUUUCAACCCUCAAGCUUCGCUUGGUGUUGGGGACCGGCACGCAACCGCCGCCCCCGAAAUACAGUGGCGGUCCCGCCGCAGCGUCCUCUGCGCAGUAAUAAAAACCUCGCAUGCGGAGCGCGGCGCGGCCACGCCCUCGGAACAAUUUCUGACGAAAAAGGUUGACCUCGGAUCAGGUAGGAAUACCCGCUGAACUUAA
RNAcentral lists this unclassified non-coding RNA (251 nucleotides) under uncultured fungus. RNAcentral's name for it is "partial contains 5.8S ribosomal RNA, internal transcribed spacer 2, and large subunit ribosomal RNA". Lineage: Eukaryota; Fungi. The record is from RNAcentral.